UAAAAGUGCUAUAUAGAACCUUAAAUUUAAGGUUGAGCCUGGUCAGUAUCUGGAUGGGAGACCUCCUGGGAAAACUAGGUUGCUGUUGGAA
Molecule: ribosomal RNA, 91 nt
Filed under: Sinocyclocheilus grahami
Lineage: Eukaryota; Metazoa; Chordata; Actinopteri; Cypriniformes; Cyprinidae
Source: RNAcentral